Molecule: transfer RNA, 72 nt
Filed under: Vibrio campbellii
Lineage: Bacteria; Pseudomonadati; Pseudomonadota; Gammaproteobacteria; Vibrionales; Vibrionaceae
Description: tRNA-Ala
Rfam family: tRNA
About the family: Transfer RNA (tRNA) molecules are approximately 80 nucleotides in length. Their secondary structure includes four short double-helical elements and three loops (D, anti-codon, and T loops). Further hydrogen bonds mediate the characteristic L-shaped molecular structure. tRNAs have two regions of fundamental functional importance: the anti-codon, which is responsible for specific mRNA codon recognition, and the 3' end, to which the tRNAs corresponding amino acid is attached (by aminoacyl-tRNA synthetases). tRNAs cope with the degeneracy of the genetic code in two manners: having more than one tRNA (with a specific anti-codon) for a particular amino acid; and 'wobble' base-pairing, i.e. permitting non-standard base-pairing at the 3rd anti-codon position.
Source: RNAcentral
GGGGCUAUAGCUCAGCUGGGAGAGCGCCUGCCUUGCACGCAGGAGGUCUGCGGUUCGAUCCCGAUAGCUCCC